This 314-nucleotide ribosomal RNA is filed under the name uncultured bacterium. Its description in RNAcentral is "partial 16S ribosomal RNA". It matches the Rfam family "Bacterial small subunit ribosomal RNA", at positions 499 to 807 of the family's 1533-position model. The record is from RNAcentral.
GUAUAAGAGACAGCAGUCGCCACGGUAAUACGUAGGGUGCAAGCGUUAAUCGGAAUUACUGGGCGUAAAGCGUGCGCAGGCGGUCAUAUAUGUCAGAUGUGAAAUCCCCGGGCUCAACCUGGGAACUGCAUUUGAGACUGUAUGGCUAGAGUGUGUCAGAGGGGGGUAGAAUUCCACGUGUAGCAGUGAAAUGCGUAGAUAUGUGGAGGAAUACCGAUGGCGAAGGCAGCCCCCUGGGAUAACACUGACGCUCAUGCACGAAAGCGUGGGGAGCAAACAGGAUUAGAUACCCGAGUAGUCCCUGUCUCUUAUAC